Molecule: ribosomal RNA, 672 nt
Filed under: Rhodococcus (subgen. Prescottella) equi
Lineage: Bacteria; Bacillati; Actinomycetota; Actinomycetes; Mycobacteriales; Nocardiaceae
Description: Prescottella equi bacterial SSU rRNA
Rfam family: Bacterial small subunit ribosomal RNA
Source: RNAcentral
UCAAGUCGAACGGUAAGGCCCCUUCGGGGGUACACGAGUGGCGAACGGGUGAGUAACACGUGGGUGAUCUGCCCUGCACUCUGGGAUAAGCCUGGGAAACUGGGUCUAAUACCGGAUAUGAGCUCCUGUCGCAUGGCGGGGGUUGGAAAGGUUUACUGGUGCAGGAUGGGCCCGCGGCCUAUCAGCUUGUUGGUGGGGUAAUGGCCUACCAAGGCGACGACGGGUAGCCGGCCUGAGAGGGCGACCGGCCACACUGGGACUGAGACACGGCCCAGACUCCUACGGGAGGCAGCAGUGGGGAAUAUUGCACAAUGGGCGAAAGCCUGAUGCAGCGACGCCGCGUGAGGGAUGACGGCCUUCGGGUUGUAAACCUCUUUCAGCAGGGACGAAGCGAGAGUGACGGUACCUGCAGAAGAAGCACCGGCCAACUACGUGCCAGCAGCCGCGGUAAUACGUAGGGUGCGAGCGUUGUCCGGAAUUACUGGGCGUAAAGAGCUCGUAGGCGGUUUGUCGCGUCGUCCGUGAAAACUUGGGGCUCAACCCCAAGCUUGCGGGCGAUACGGGCAGACUUGAGUACUGCAGGGGAGACUGGAAUUCCUGGUGUAGCGGUGAAAUGCGCAGAUAUCGGGAGGAACACCGGUGGCAAAGGCGGGUCUCUGGGCAGUAACUGAC